GCGUGCGGGUCGUGGCCUCCUUGGAUUUACAAACGACUCUCGGCAACGGAUAUCUCGGCUCACGCAUCGAUGAAGAACGUAGCAAAAUGCGAUACUUGGUGUGAAUUGCAGAAUCCCGUGAACCAUCGAGUUUUUGAACGCAAGUUGCGCCCAAAGCCAUCCG
This 163-nucleotide ribosomal RNA is filed under the name Faberia sinensis. Its description in RNAcentral is "5.8S ribosomal RNA". The stretch from base 35 to 163 matches the Rfam family "5.8S ribosomal RNA", at positions 1 to 128 of the family's 154-position model. Rfam says of the family: 5.8S ribosomal RNA (5.8S rRNA) is a component of the large subunit of the eukaryotic ribosome. It is transcribed by RNA polymerase I as part of the 45S precursor that also contains 18S and 28S rRNA. The record is from RNAcentral. Lineage: Eukaryota; Viridiplantae; Streptophyta; Magnoliopsida; Asterales; Asteraceae.